UACGUAGGGGGCGAGCGUUGUCCGGAUUUAUUGGGCGUAAAGAGCGUGUAGGCGGCCAGGUAGGUCUGCUGUGAAAACUCGAGGCUCAACCUCGAGACGUCGGCGGAAACCAUCUGGCUAGAGUCCGGAAGAGGAGAGUGAAAUUCCUGGUGUAGCGGUGAAAUGCGCAGAUAUCAGGAAGAACACCCGUGGCGAAGGCGGCUCUCUGGGACGGUACUGACGCUGAGACGCGAAAGCGUGGGGAGCGAACAGG
Molecule: ribosomal RNA, 253 nt
Filed under: uncultured bacterium
Lineage: Bacteria
Description: partial 16S ribosomal RNA
Rfam family: Bacterial small subunit ribosomal RNA
Source: RNAcentral